Molecule: long non-coding RNA, 588 nt
Organism: Sapajus apella (tufted capuchin)
Lineage: Eukaryota; Metazoa; Chordata; Mammalia; Primates; Cebidae
Exons: 2
Source: RefSeq, a predicted model, not a curated record
AUAUACUAAUCCUUUUAUUUUGUUUUUUUGCAUAUCACUUAUUCCUAGUUAUCAAGGUUUUAAACCUCAACACCAAGUUAUUAAAACAGUUAUUUCUCAAUUCUUUUAAACUUAUAUUAAAAAGUAUAAUAUUUUCCAUUAAAAUAUUCCCAAUUUAAGAAAGGAGUGCAAUGGAAUUAUUUUUUAGCUUAUUAAUAAUGAGAGAAAAUGCUUUGUAUUUCCUUAAUUACUUGAGAGUGAAGCCUUGGGCUUGGCCAUGAGGGUAAUGUACAAAGGCAAUCAAGGGAGGGACUUAUGGCAACAAUGAUGAAAAUGUAAAUAGCAGACAUUUGGCGAAGAGGAACCUGCAUCUGACAGGCUGACUUGAACAUAUUCAUCAGUUUCAACAACACCUGCCACAAGCAAUGAACAUUAUCCUAUUAAUGUGAUGGCAACCUUGGUGGUGCCAUCUCAGAUCAAGUCAGCCAUUCCCGGUACAGUUGCAUGGAAUUUACAUUGCCUGAGGACAGAUAAUGUCAGAUUUAUUUCUACAACUCCAGAUCCUGAAUAGUGUCUGGCAAAUAUAAGGAACCCAGUAAGUGGCUAGUA